This 442-nucleotide ribosomal RNA is filed under the name uncultured bacterium. RNAcentral describes it as "partial 16S ribosomal RNA". It matches the Rfam family "Bacterial small subunit ribosomal RNA", at positions 338 to 795 of the family's 1533-position model. The record is from RNAcentral.
CCUACGGGCGGCAGCAGUAGGGAAUCUUUCACAAUGGGCGAAAGCCUGAUGGAGCAACGCCGCGUGCAGGAUGAAGGCCCUCGGGUUUUAAACUGCUUUUAUAAGCGAGAAAUAUGAUGGUAACUUAUGAAUAAGGAUCGGCUAACUACGUGCCAGCAGCCGCGGUCAUACGUAGGAUCCGAGUAUUAUCCGGAGUGUCUGGGUGUAAAGAGUUGCGUAGGUGGCAUAAUAAGUAGCUAGUGAAAUCUGGUGGCUCAACCAUUCAGACUAUUAGCUAAACUGUUAAGCUCGAGACCGUUAGAGGUAACUGGAAUAUGUAGUGUAGGAGUGAAAUGCGUAGAUAUUAGAAGGAACACCAAUAGCGUAGGCAGGUUACUGGGACGGUUCUGACGCUAAGGCACGAAAGCGUAGGGAGCAAACGGGAUUAGAUACCCGUGUAGUC